This 253-nucleotide ribosomal RNA is filed under the name uncultured bacterium. RNAcentral's name for it is "partial 16S ribosomal RNA". It matches the Rfam family "Bacterial small subunit ribosomal RNA", at positions 524 to 776 of the family's 1533-position model. The record is from RNAcentral.
UACGUAGGGGGCAAGCGUUGUCCGGAAUCAUUGGGCGUAAAGCGCGUGUAGGCGGCCCGGUAAGUCCGCUGUGAAAGUCGGGGGCUCAACCCUCGGAUGCCGGUGGAUACUGUCGGGCUAGAGUGCGGGAGAGGCGAGUGGAAUUCCUGGUGUAGCGGUGAAAUGCGCAGAUAUCGGGAAGAACACCCGUGGCGAAGGCGGCUCUCUGGGACGGUACUGACGCUGAGACGCGAAAGCGUGGGGAGCGAACAGG